GAGUUUGAUCGUGGCUCAGGACGAACGCUGGCGGCGCGCCUAACACAUGCAAGUCGAGGGGCAGCGGGGUGUAGCAAUACAUCGCCGGCGACCGGCGCACGGGUGAGUAACGCGUAUGCAACUUGCCUAUCAGAGGGGGAUAACCCGUCGAAAGACGGACUAAUACCGCAUGAAACAGGGGUCCCGCAUGGGGAUAUUUGUUAAAGAUUAUAUCGCUGAUAGAUAGGCAUGCGUUCCAUUAGGGUAGUUGGUGGGCAACGGCCCACCAAGCCGACGAUGGAUAGGGGUUCUGAGAGGAAGGUCCCCCCACACUGGUACUGAGACACGGACCAGACUCCUACGGGAGGCAGCAGUGAGGAAUAUUGGUCAAUGGGCGAGAGCCUGAACCAGCCAAGUCGCGUGAGGGAUGAAGGCCCUACGGGUUGUAAACCUCUUUUAUAAGGGAAUAAAGGGGUGCCACGUGUGGCGUAUUGCAUGUACCUUAUGAAUAAGCA
RNAcentral lists this ribosomal RNA (494 nucleotides) under uncultured bacterium. RNAcentral describes it as "bacterial SSU rRNA". It matches the Rfam family "Bacterial small subunit ribosomal RNA", at positions 9 to 492 of the family's 1533-position model. The record is from RNAcentral.